GUUAGUAGUUCAACGGUAGAACACUGCACUAGAGUAGCAUUGUCCUGGGUUCGACUCCCAGCUAGGCCA
This 69-nucleotide transfer RNA is filed under the name Cronartium ribicola 11-2. Its description in RNAcentral is "tRNA-Ser (AGA) (tRNA-Ser-AGA-159-1)". It matches the Rfam family "tRNA". From Rfam's summary of the family: Transfer RNA (tRNA) molecules are approximately 80 nucleotides in length. Their secondary structure includes four short double-helical elements and three loops (D, anti-codon, and T loops). Further hydrogen bonds mediate the characteristic L-shaped molecular structure. tRNAs have two regions of fundamental functional importance: the anti-codon, which is responsible for specific mRNA codon recognition, and the 3' end, to which the tRNAs corresponding amino acid is attached (by aminoacyl-tRNA synthetases). tRNAs cope with the degeneracy of the genetic code in two manners: having more than one tRNA (with a specific anti-codon) for a particular amino acid; and 'wobble' base-pairing, i.e. permitting non-standard base-pairing at the 3rd anti-codon position. The record is from RNAcentral. Lineage: Eukaryota; Fungi; Basidiomycota; Pucciniomycetes; Pucciniales; Coleosporiaceae.